GGUUUUGCCUUCGAGGAGGGGUGCCCAGUGGUGAUGCCCAGGAGAGGGAAUGGAAACCUGGAGCUGGGAGCGAGGUUGGAGCUGUAAGAUCCAAGACCCAGGGAGACAAGAGGACCCUGGGGACAAAUAGGAACAGCUGAGCAAGGGGAGGAGACAGGUUUCUGCAGACUCUACAUUUUGGAGAGAAACAGAAAAGAAUGUCCCCAAGUCUCCUUUGCCCUGCGAUGCUGGGGCAGAUUGGCAAGGUCCCAAGAGAAGCACAAUGGUAACCGACGCUGCCCUUGGCUGAACUUCUUCUGUUAAAUCCUUCGGAUGGAUGCUGGAAUCGACCUUGAUCUCUAGUUCGACUCCCGUGCAACGUGUUGAGGAGGAGCCACCUCCUCCAAGCACCUAAAGCCGACCCAGAAACGCCUCCCAAUCCCUCCACACCGCGGCUCCCGGGAUCCGAAGCUGGGGAGCUGCUUCUGUCCAAUCAGGCUUUGUAUCCCGGGACGCUUCCGGUUAUGGCGUCAUUAUGCAGCCAGGGAUGAGACAGGAGCCUAUCUGAUUGACAGAGACCCCACCU
RNAcentral lists this small RNA (565 nucleotides) under Pan troglodytes (chimpanzee). RNAcentral describes it as "processed transcript". The record is from RNAcentral. Lineage: Eukaryota; Metazoa; Chordata; Mammalia; Primates; Hominidae.